GACGAACGCUGGCGGCGCGCUUAACACAUGCAAGUCGAACGGAAAGGCCUGCUUUCCCUUGUGGAUUGCGGGUACUCGAGUGGCGAACGGGUGAGUAACACGUGAGUGAUCUGCCCCCAACUUGGGUAUAAGCCUGGGAAACUGGGUCUAAUUCCCGAUAGGACUGCAGGGUGGUGCCUGUGGUGGAAAACGAUUUUCUAGUGGUUGGGGAUGAGCUCGCGGCCCAUCAGCUUGUUGGUGGGGUAAUGGCCUACCAAGGCGGCGACGGGUAGCCGGCCUGAGAGGGUGGACGGCGACAUUGGGACUGAGAUACGGCCCAGACUCCUACGGGAGGCAGCAGUGGGGAAUAUUGCACAAUGGGCGGAAGCCUGAUGCAGCGACGCCGCGUGGGGGAUGACGGCCUUCGGGUUGUAAACUCCUUUCGACCGCGAGGAAGCCACCUGGUUGGAAGGGUGGUGACGGUAGUGGUAGAAGAAGCACCGGCUAACUACGUG
This 494-nucleotide ribosomal RNA is filed under the name uncultured bacterium. RNAcentral's name for it is "partial 16S ribosomal RNA". It matches the Rfam family "Bacterial small subunit ribosomal RNA", at positions 28 to 507 of the family's 1533-position model. The record is from RNAcentral.